GGUCCUUUUAUUACCAUGCUGUUAAGAAGCCUAAAGUAGCCUACUGUAGAUGAAAGUCUAUCCAUGAUGGGAGAGUAGAGGUUACCCACUGGUAACCAGAACCAUGUUCCAGAGGCCAUCUGGGACCUACAGAUUCAGGAAGAAUUGCCUGUGGAAGUGACAUAAGUGGUGAACUGUGGCAGCCAUUAGAUGUGCCUCAUAGACCUCUAGCUGCAGCAACUCACUCUUUCAACCCCACCUCCUGUUCCACAUGAUAACAGCUGAUUUUAAUUCACUUCAGUGCAACUCCAAUCAUUUCAAGUUUAAACUAUGGCAACUCAGGAUUCCCUCCAUUCCUUUACCCUCUGGAUCUCCCAAGGUUCAUGUAAGUUCUGGAGGCCUUUUAGAGGGUCGUGGCAUUGGGGGAGUGUGAUUGUCUUUCAGCUGCGUUUUGUCCUGUCUGGUGCUGCUGAGAUGACUAUAACACCCACUGAUGUGGGCCUCGCUACAAUGGUUGAGGUCCCUAACUGUACAGUAGUCCAUGCUGCCAUCUGCUGGUGGUUCCUCUUGUUACUCCUGUGAGACCUUAGAUGUUCAAGAUGGCUCCUGAAAUUUAUAUCAUAGUUGUAUACUUUUCAGGGUAAUUUCAUCUUCUCUCUUAUUAUUCUUGGAGGCUACAGAAGGUUGGUGGGAUUUCUUUGAGUUCUUCAUUCAGACAUUCCAGUUGCUCUCAUUCCUUUAUGAGGAUGCAAAUGGAGACCCCUGUGAAGAGGCCUUUUCCUUAGUGUUCCAGGAAGGAACCCUGGAAGGUACACAGGAAGCAGUAUACCAGUCUUCCCUGCUCUUAGAUCCAAACCUUCUUCUACCCUUGAGAGAAUUUUAAUUUCCUUUUAGGCAGACAAAAACUGUCUCAGCAUUGUUCUCCCAUGUUUUUCUGCCAUGAAACUGGGCCACAGAAAUGCUGAGAAACUGACAGAAUUCUCUGCCUAUGAGGAGAUUAUCUUCCCUCUUUGUGUUAGUGAAGACCUUGUGCUCAGUUCUGAUGUUUGGAUUAACACUGCAGUGAAGGCAAAGGUAGCACAGGAAAUAAUCCACCUGCUCAAAGUUAAAGGUGUCAUCCUGUGUUCAUUUUUAUGCAGUGAAAUACAUCCAUCCCUCUGCUUUUGCUUCUGGGCUUAUGUCACAGUAAUUUCUAAUGUCUUUUUUAUAUCACAAUUUUGCAAAAUUUCAUCCACAUAUACUUCUAGGACUUUUAUAGAACAACAUUUUAAACAUAUAAAUCUUGGACUUAUCUUGCAUCUAUUUUAGUAUACACAAGAUAUGAAUUCAGUUUACUAAUUUCUCAAAAUAAUACUAUAGCAACUUAGUGGUUUGGAGUUCUUGGAGGGAUAUUUUGCCUGAAGUAUCCAACUUGCCAGGAAUAUUCACUGAUUUCAUGAUGGGACCUGUGAACCAGUCUUUAGAGUUAAGAGUAGUGAUUGUCAACUUUGACUGCCUAUCAGAACAUUUGGAGAGAGUUAAAAAUACUGAUAACUGGAUCCCAGCUUCUCGUGUAAUUGUUUUGGAGUACAGUCUGUGCGUCAUGAUUUUAAAAAUCUUUCUGGAUGAUUAUAAUGCAUUCAAAAUUGAAUACUAUUAAAUUAUAAAUCUGUCUUUAGGGCAAAAAAGAGCAUGAGUGAAAGCCAUGUGAUGCUUUUUAAUAGAGCAGUAUGGAGCAUGUAUCCCAGUCACCUUGGAUAUGUGGGCUUGUUGAAACCCAGAUUUCUGUGCCCUUCUUUCAGAGUUGCUGAGUCAGAAGCUGCAGAGUGAUGCCAAAGAAUUUGCAUUUCUAACAAGUUCUUGAUUCCUACUAAUGUUACUGGUCCAGGAACCACACUUGGAGAGGAAAUGUAAUAGAGUAUUAAAAGAACUUCUGGAGGAAAAUAACUCUAGACCUUUUAUUUGGUCAGAAGGUAGCAUCCACAUUUAUACUGGUACUUUUCAUUCUCCCAUUUGAGUUUCAAAAAGAUUAUAAAUGAAAUUUAUUCAGAAUUUAUUAUUUAGCUACACUCAUUCUUAAGAUGUAAUUUAAGGUGCAAUAAAAUAAAACAUAAAUGGAAAGAAGGGGAGAAAAUUAGAACAUGAGUAAAAUGAUGUCUGGAAAGACAAAAGGGUAGUGUACAUAUGUACAUUUGCUGAUGUUGGACCAUAAAUUUGGUAAACUUUCAACAGUGAACAUUAAACAGGGAAACAAAAUCAUAGGAAAAUUUAUAGUGCUCCUGAGAUGAAAACAAGCCAGUACU
This is a long non-coding RNA of Bubalus bubalis (water buffalo), 2261 nucleotides long. RefSeq lists it as uncharacterized. The transcript is spliced from 3 exons. Lineage: Eukaryota; Metazoa; Chordata; Mammalia; Artiodactyla; Bovidae. The record is from RefSeq and is a predicted model, not a curated record.